This 385-nucleotide ribosomal RNA is filed under the name uncultured bacterium. Its description in RNAcentral is "bacterial SSU rRNA". It matches the Rfam family "Bacterial small subunit ribosomal RNA", at positions 370 to 772 of the family's 1533-position model. The record is from RNAcentral.
AAUGGGGGAAACCCUGAUGCAGCAACGCCGCGUGAGUGAUGAAGGUCUUCGGAUUGUAAAACUCUGUCUUUGGGGACGAUAAUGACGGUACCCAAGGAGGAAGCCACGGCUAACUACGUGCCAGCAGCCGCGGUAAUACGUAGGUGGCAAGCGUUGUCCGGAUUUACUGGGCGUAAAGGGAGCGUAGGUGGAUAUUUAAGUGGGAUGUGAAAUACUCGGGCUUAACCUGAGUGCUGCAUUCCAAACUGGAUAUCUAGAGUGCAGGAGAGGAAAGUGGAAUUCCUAGUGUAGCGGUGAAAUGCGUAGAUAUUAGGAAGAACACCAGUGGCGAAGGCGACUUUCUGGACUGUAACUGACACUGAGGCUCGAAAGCGUGGGGAGCGAA